UCGAGAAUCUUUCACAAUGGGGGCAACCCUGAUGGAGCGACGCCGCGUGGAGGAUAAGGUCUUCGGAUUGUAAACUCCUGUCAUGCGAGAGUAAGGCCCCGCGUUAACUGCGUGAGGGAUUGACAGUAUCGCAAGAGGAAGAGACGGCUAACUCUGUGCCAGCAGCCGCGGUAAUACAGAGGUCUCAAGCGUUGUUCGGAAUUACUGGGCGUAAAGGGUGCGUAGGCUGCGCAGAAAGUCAGAUGUGAAA
Molecule: ribosomal RNA, 250 nt
Filed under: uncultured bacterium
Lineage: Bacteria
Description: partial 16S ribosomal RNA
Rfam family: Bacterial small subunit ribosomal RNA
Source: RNAcentral